Molecule: ribosomal RNA, 425 nt
Filed under: uncultured eukaryote
Lineage: Eukaryota
Description: SSU rRNA
Rfam family: Eukaryotic small subunit ribosomal RNA
Source: RNAcentral
CAAUAGCGUAUAUUAAAGUUGUUGCGUUAAAAGGUCAAUCGUAGUUGGAUUUCUGUCGGUGAAUAUCAGUCCGCCCACAGCGGUAGGUACGUGAUAUUUCACCGGCAUCUUCCUGGGGAAUGUGUCUGCUCUUUAUUGAGUGGUACAUAAGCCAGGACUUUUACUUUGAAGAAAUGAGAGUGUUUCAAGCAGGCAUGCGCCGUGAAUACGUUAGCAUGGGAUAAUAGCAUCGGACCUCGUUCCAAAGCUGUUGGUUUCUUGGACCGAGGUAAAGGUGAAUAGGGAUUGUUGGGGCAGUCGUAUUUUGACUGUCAGAGGUGAAAUUCUUGGAUUUUGUUGAAGACGGACUACUGCGAAAGCAUCUGCCAAAGAUGUUCUCAUUGAUCAAGAACGAAAGUUAGGUGAUCGAAGACGAUCAGAUACCA